Molecule: ribosomal RNA, 468 nt
Filed under: uncultured bacterium
Lineage: Bacteria
Description: partial 16S ribosomal RNA
Rfam family: Bacterial small subunit ribosomal RNA
Source: RNAcentral
GAUGAACGCUGGCGGCGUGCUUAACACAUGCAAGUCGAACGGUGAAGGCGGAGCUUGCUCUGCUGGAUCAGUGGCGAACGGGUGAGUAACACGUGAGCAAUCUGCCCCUGACUCUGGGAUAAGCGCUGGAAACGGCGUCUAAUACUGGAUACGAGCUGCGAAGGCAUCUUCAGCAGCUGGAAAGAAGUUCGGUCAGGGAUGAGCUCGCGGCCUAUCAGCUUGUUGGUGAGGCAAUGGCUCACCAAGGCGUCGACGGGUAGCCGGCCUGAGAGGGUGACCGGCCACACUGGGACUGAGACACGGCCCAGACUCCUACGGGAGGCAGCAGUGGGGAAUAUUGCACAAUGGGCGAAAGCCUGAUGCAGCAACGCCGCGUGAGGGACGACGGCCUUCGGGUUGUAAACCUCUUUUAGCAGGGAAGAAGCGAAAGUGACGGUACCUGCAGAAAAAGCGCCGGCUAACUACGUG